GAUGAACGCUGGCGGCGUGCCUAAUACAUGCAAGUCGAGCGAACAGACGAGGUGCUUGCUCCUCUGACGUUAGCGGCGGACGGGAGAGUAACCCGUGGAUAACCAACCUAUAUGACUAGGAUAACUUCGGGACACCGGAGCGAAUACCGGAUAAUAUAUUGCACCGCAUGGUUCAAUAGUGAAAGACGGUCUUGCUGUUACUUAUAGAUGGUUCCGCGCCGCAUUAGCGAGUUGGUAAGGUAACGGCUUACCACUACAACGAUGCGUAGCCGACCUGGGAGAUGGAUCGGCCACACUGGAAGUGAAACACGGGCCAGACUCCUACUGGAAGAAGCAGUAGGGAAUCUUCCGCAAUAGGCGAAAGCCUGACGGAGCAACGCCGCGUGGGUGAAGAAGGUCUUCGGAUCGGAAGACUCUAUUAUUAGGGAAGAACAAAUGUGUAAGUAACUAUGCACGUCUUGACGGUACCUAAUCAGAAAGCCACGGCUAACUACGUG
This 497-nucleotide ribosomal RNA is filed under the name uncultured bacterium. RNAcentral describes it as "partial 16S ribosomal RNA". It matches the Rfam family "Bacterial small subunit ribosomal RNA", at positions 28 to 507 of the family's 1533-position model. The record is from RNAcentral.